CUACAUAGAACUAUUUACAUCAUCCAAAAGGAUGGACAGAAAAAAGAAGGUAAAACGAACACUGAAUCCUCAGAAGCCAGAAACAGCUACUUGCUGGCUAACUCCCAUGGAUGGCUCCAAACCAUUUCCAUAGUGGCAAGGUCUCACCACAGAGCUCAAGAAAGCUCUCUCUACCUCUUCUGAUGCGUUCCUUCUGAGCAAGCACAUGACAUAGUCCAUUAGAGCUGCAUCACAAGGCAGGGUUAUCCUUCCAUCGCUUGUGAAGCCAAACUCAUCGUGAGACAUCCUCAGGAGCUCCCCGAUGAUCGUCGUGCUGAGGUACGCCAAUGGCACCUCAAACCGCCUCCCGUCAGCAGUGUACAUGGCGCAGUGGCCCUUCACUGCCACUGACGUGCAGCACUCAUCGACUUCUUUUGCUGAAGUCCACAUGAGCCUCUUCCUCCUGAUGGCUGCCACUCUUUGCCACUUCCUUAUCAUCUGAGAAAGUCUCUUGGCACUGACCAUGGUUGUAUCACCUUCUUUCUUGGCAGAAAGCUCAGAGUUUUGUGUCGAGUGCUAAGCUAGUGGUAGUGCUUUGCUUGUGGAUGGAACCGGCGGUUCAGAGCUGAUGUAUUUAUAGGUGGGGGGAGAUAUGCAUGCAGCUUAAGUGCAGCUAUCAAAGCGAGCUGGCAAGGGACAAGGCCAUGAGCUUCGAACAUGCAAUGUUUAGAGGCUACCCCUUUGCUCUUUGGUGCCUGUUGGAGCCAAUAGUGGUAGUGCUUGGGUGAUUGGAUAUCACAAUGUGCCGUCAUACUGGCCUGCUCAAUGGAUCAGGGGCAUGCUUCAUGAGAACUACAUGUAAGUUGGGUCCAACAUGUGAACAGUGAGAGACAGUUCUGUGGGAAAUGAGAUAUCAAUUAUUUAAAGAUCUGGAUAUCGCCUGAGAUUGAGAUACAUAGUCUGACGGUUUUCCACGCCCAUUGUUUCUGAACAACCAGUUUUAAUGUGUUUACUGUCCAAAGUCCAAACAAGUGAACAACUUGCCUGCCAAUUUCAUAAAAUCUUUUGCUGGUUGUCUGUUUGAUUAGUAGCAUCUCAUGUGAACUCCAUUUGGUCGCUGCUUCUUACACUCCACAAUAUAGACCUACUGGACUACAACUAACUUGCUGUCAUUUUAUUUUUGGACUGAAAACUUAUUGUCAUUAUUGAGUGGUAAGCAGUUCUACUGGACAAUAUUUCUCCGUUGAGACUUGAAGUAGUCGUAUCUCUUUCUGAAAAAUAGAAGGAAACCUGCUAAAUCCAUUGACCAAAGCAGAAACUUACACAACAACAAAAGAAAGACAAAACAAACAAAACAGAAGACGAGAGGUUCGUACUUCUUUCUGGACACUUGCUUAACAAUGCCUAAUCAUCUAAUUUUGAACUUAUGCAAACGUCUUUCAAAGUUCAGCAAUGAAGUCGGUCAGUCUACUGGCUGCCUGAGUCCUAUCUAGAACAUUUAGAGAAGUACGAACACCAAAGAUGUGGAUGUAAAUAAUCAUGAGUAAUUCAAGAUUUUCAGCGAAAAUAUCACACUGAUCUGCUAAGAUGAGAAAAUAUGUAUCUUCCUUGCAUUCCUACAACUCUUAUAAUUUACAUUCAACUGAACAAAACAUUUAUCACUAGCUACAAACAGCAAAUUGCUGAUUAAGUUUCACUGAAGCCACAUAACUCGCACUGUGGCAAGGCCUUGCUAUGGAGCUCAGGAACGCCUUCUCAACCUCUUCAGAGGCCUCUCUCCUAAUCAAACACAUCACAUAGGCCAUCACAGAGGCAUCAAAAGGUAAUUUGAUCUUGCCAUCACUAGAGAAGCCAAAUUCCUCUUGAGACAUCCUCAGGAGCUCACCGAAGACCAUUGUGCCAAGGUACACCAAAGGGACCUCGAACCGUGAUCCAUCAACAGUGUACAUGACACAGUGACCCCUGUCUGCAACAGAGGCAGUGCUGCAGCAUCCGUCGGUGUCUGCAGUCUGCUGGCCACCAGCUGCCACCAGCCUCUGGCACUUCUUGGCAAGCUGAGCAAGCUUCUUUGAAUGGAUCAUGGUUGCUAUGUGUUCUUGGCUAAAAUGCACUUUGGCUCUGAUGGUGUGAUACACUUUUGCACAGAUUGCUGUGUCGUUUGGAGAUGUAGAAGUUGUGUUGCGCGGGUCAUGGGUUUAUAGUCAAAGGAGUGGGUCAUGUGUAGCUACCAGAAAAGAUGGUGGGGCGGGAGCUGCAGGAGACAAGGCCAUGAGUGCUCCGCAUGCAAUGUUGCAGCUGCAGACAAUGUGAUAAAUGAUUUGAUCAAAUAUUUUGGGGGAUCAGAUUUUUGGUUAUCGGUGAGGGAUGGAGCAAAUACUUCUAGUUGGGUGAUUGCUGCUCUACUGUAGUACUGAUUCCUUCAACUGCUAGAGGCAUUAAGCUAAAAAAAUUAUACAGGACCAGCCAUCCAUACCACCCUGUCUCAAGUGUGUUUUGGCAUGAGAAGGCUGCCUGAUGGGGAUCAUGGCUUGUGGGCAUGCCUUAUCCUUGGGGCCCUGAUCAAGUUGGUAUGCAACUCAGGCAACUUGCUACAAUAUCAAGAGGUAUAUUCUAGUUUGCAUUUGCAGCACACCAUGUGAUCACUUCAUUUGACACGCAUUUUCUGGUCUGUGCUUUGCUGUGGGUAGUACCUGGUUCCAACUUACAACUGUGGCAUCUGAUUCUGACCAGUCCGAUUCAACCCCUAAAUGGGCUAAAAUUCUAGGGGCGGUUAUAUGAUUGAAAUUUAAAUAGGGCAAUAUAAUGAUGUAUGAUGUUGAAAUGUUGUCCCAUUGUGCGUAUAUAAUUCAGCUUAGGUUUGCAGGACCAGACCUUCUAAAGCGGUACUCGAGAAAACACCCCCUAUUAAAAUGCAAUCGCAAGUACAUUCUUCUUUGGGACAUACUGGGUCAGAUUAUCAUUCUAAUGGCGAGGCACAUUCAGAAAUCAAUAAAUAGGUGCAUAAACAUGAAAGCAUUCUGAGGUAAUGACAACUUACAAGUAUUUCAGAAAUGACUUCCAGUCCUCGGCAGAUCUCCGGAAUGCUGUGUCCUCAUGCCAAAUAAUCUGCAGCCAAUAGUUAUACCAGGUUUAGCCAUUUGAGCACAGCUCUGUAUCAAGAUAUGUCAAAUGAUAGCUUACUAAGCAUUCUACUGUGUUACCAGUGCAUCAUUAUAUGACUGAAUCUUAAUUUCUAGUGAGCAGAAGAGCAAAGGCAGAGGUCAGAAGCAAUCAUCCACAGUGAUUUGAGAAAUUAGGCAGUGUAUUCCCAAGCAAACAUCAAAUAGCUGUACGACGUACUCCUUCUCGACUUCUCGUAAGAGAGUAACUGAAAAGAAAUUGUUUGUGUCGCUACCCACUGCUCAUGAGCCGGCAUGACAGAUUUGAAACCCUCACCGGAGUGUGAAGUGGAGGAGGUGGUCGAGCCAUCACGCAGCGCACCUACGAUGCGUAGACCAGAAACGUGCCCGACCCCACCGCCAAUCGCCCAACGAAGGACCCACUGACAUGUGCCGGGCGUGCCGGCGGUGGCGGCGUCAGUCUUCCAGGCAGUGGCAAGUGAUCCAACAUGAAUGCAUGUCCUACUAUAAGUGUUCCUUGGCUCCAUGGUGGUGCCAUGCUACCAUGCAGCUCCACCUGUGGGAGCCAACAUGUUAUUCUCUGCAGUUGCUAAUUGUCAUCAUUUUCUGUACUUUUGUAUGUAAAGUAGUUCGAUGUUGGAAACAGGAAAGAGGAUGCAAAGAAUUUUAGUUUUGCAACCGAUUAAGCAAUCGAAAAAAUAGUUAGAAACAUUGUUCCUCCGGUGUAUAUAUUUCUGCGGAGCUAAAUGACUGGUUGCUUUUAGGACUUGAACAGAACAAGUCAACAUAUUCUUCUUUACAGCUACAUGGCCUCAGACCCAGAAAUUUACAAAGAAACGUUCAAGUGGGCAGGAGAAAGGUUCAUGAACGAGCUUAAAAAACUGCCAAACAAUAAUACCCCUAAUCUGAUAAAUCCGUCCAAAUCGGUAAUACUAAUAGAACGCCCCGAUCCAGUACAUAUAAUUUUUUCUGUGACACUUUAGAAUCUUACUAUUAUACCGGAUCAGGGCGUUCUAUUAUACAUCAUGAUGGAGUAUUAUCUUUGAAUAUACAUAGAAUAGAUUAGUAGACUGGAACAGUAAGUAGUCUAAUUAAAAAAAACAUUGCAUCCACUUAAUUUCAAUCAAGUCAUAACCUGGUGCCGUCAUGAUGUAUGAUGUUAAAAUGUUGGAUAUCAUUCAGCUGAGUGUGCAGGAUCAGAUCCUCUGAAACAGUACACAAGAAGGACAAUCCAUAUCAAAAUGCAACCACAAGUACAUCCUACGUUGAGACAUUGUAUUUCAGAAUAGUCUAUAGAAAAAGAAGAGUCUGAAAUCAACUUAAUACAUGCGAAAACAUGAAAGCAUUCAGAGGUAAUGGCAGCUUACAAGCAUUGCGAGAAUAACUUCAGUGUAUCUUGGAAAUGCCGCAUCCCCAUGUGAAAUAACCUGCAGGCAAUAGUUAUACAAGAUUUAGCCAACUGGUCAUAAUUUCUUAGUUUGCAUUCAGUUUGUGCAAGGAUCUGUCACAUGAUCACUCACACUGUAUACUCUCUUGUGAUUGUGCAUCAUGAUACAAAUUAUUUGAGUGCUUGAGCACAUCCUGGUAAAAUAUAUAGGGUGGACCCUAAGAUGGAGAUAUAUAAUCUGACAGUUGGUUAUGCCCAUAAUGAGUUGUUGCUGAACCAGCAGAUUCAAGGUCUUCAGUGGUCCAAACAACUUGCUCAAUAAUCUCACACCACCUCUUUAGUUGAUGGUCUGUUUCAUUAGCAACAUCUCAUAUGUGAACUCCAGUUCGCUUGUUGUUCUUACAGUUUCCUGUAAGAUUUUAUCAGGAUUUCUUAGUUCUUUUUUUUAGUUUUAACCGCCUAAAAUAAGGUUGGUGAUCUGCAAGAGGUUCUAACAGUUAUUGCAAAAGAUAACUUUACAUGACCAUGAUUCCAUACCAUUUUGCUAAACUAGUACCAAGUUCUGUUCAAUUUUUGGUGUGCUUGCAAAAAUCAGCAUGCCAGACUCAUCAAGUAUAGUCUGAACUUCCUUGUCUUACACAAUAGACCCUUUAGCUUAAUUCGUUGCAGAAAGAACAGUUAUGAAACUAAGCAGUCAGGAGUCAAGACGAGAGUCAAAUGGUCAACUUGCCAUAUGAUUCUUUCAUUUCCUAUCUCCUACAUAGAACUAUUCACAUCAUCCAAAAGGAUGGACAGUAAAAAGAAGGUAAAACGAACACUGAAUCCUCAGAAGCCAGAAACAGCUACUUGCUGGCUAACUCCCAUGGAUGGCUCCAAACCAUUUCCAUAGUGGCAAGGUCUCACCACAGAGCUCAAGAAAGCUCUCUCUACCUCUUCUGAUGCGUUCCUUCUGAGCAAGCACAUGACAUAGUCCAUUAGAGCUGCAUCACAAGGCAGGGUUAUCCUUCCAUCGCUUGUGAAGCCAAACUCAUCGUGAGACAUCCUCAGGAGCUCCCCGAUGAUCGUCGUGCUGAGGUACGCCAAUGGCACCUCAAACCGCCUCCCGUCAGCAGUGUACAUGGCGCAGUGGCCCUUCACUGCCACUGACGUGCAGCACUCAUCGACUUCUUUUGCUGAAGUCCACAUGAGCCUCUUCCUCCUGAUGGCUGCCACUCUUUGCCACUUCCUUAUCAUCUGAGAAAGUCUCUUGGCACUGACCAUGGUUGUAUCACCUUCUUUCUUGGCAGAAAGCUCAGAGUUUUGUGUCGAGUGCUAAGCUAGUGGUAGUGCUUUGCUUGUGGAUGGAACCAGUGGUUCAGAGCUGAUGUAUUUAUAGGUGGGGGAAGAUAUGCAUGCAGCUUAAGUGCAGCUAUCAAAGCAAGCUGGCAAGGGACAAGGCCAUGAGCUUCGAACAUGCAAUGUUUAGAGGCUACCCCUUUGCUCUUUGGCACCUGUUGGAGCCAAUAGUGGUAGUGUUUGGGUGAUUGGAUAUCACAACGUGCCGCCAUACCGGCCUGCUUAAUGGGUCAGGGGCAUGCUUCAUGAGGACUACAUGUAAAAGUUGGGUCCAACAUGUGAACAGUGAGAGACAGUUCUGUGGGAGGAUAUCUUGAUAUUAUUGGAAGAUCUAGAUAUCCUCUGAGAUUGAGAUACAUAGUCCGACGGUUUUGCACGCCCAUUGUUUCUGAACAACCAGUUUUAAUGUGUUCAGUGGUCCAAACAAGUGAACAACUUGCCUGGCAAUUUCAUAAAACCUUUUGCUGGUUGUCUGUUUGAUUAGUAGCAUCUCAUGUGAACUCCCAUUUCAUGAUGUUGAAAUUUUGUCCCAUUGUGCAUAUAUAUUUCAGCUUAGGUUGCAGGACCAGACCUUCUAAAGCAGUGCUCGAGAAAAAAUCCCUUAACUAAAAUAAAAUCGCAAGUACGUUCUUCUUUGGGACAUACUGGGUCAGAUUAUCAUUCUAAGGAAGAGGCACAUUCAGAAAUUAAUGAAUAAGCGCGUAAACAUGAAAGCAUUCUGAGGUAAUGGGAACUUACAAGUAUUACAGAAAUGACUUCCAGCCCUCGGCAGAUCUCUCAAAUGCUGUCCUCGUGCCAAAUAAUCUGCAGCCAAUAGUUAUACCAGGUUUAGUCAUUUGAGUGAAUUUACAAAACUGCCAAGCAAUAAUAUCCCCCAAUCUGAUAAAUCCGUCCAAAUGGGAUUACUAAUAUAAUGCCCCGAUCCAGCACAAAAUUGUGCUUUUCAUUAGGAUCCUAUAAGGAAGUAGCAGGGACUAAGAACUCAUGCAGACCGUAUGAACUGUCCAGCAAGUUGCUAGUCUCGCAACAACCAAAGCGCUGCUUAACAAAACAACACCUAGCUAGCAUUGCAGAUGUAGACCACAUUUCUAGGUUGAGACUCAAGGCAAUCGUAUCUCUUUUUCCAAUAUAGCAGGAGAGCUGCCAAGUUCAUUACUCAGAUCAGGAAUUUACAACACGAUCAGAUGAGAAACAAGCAAAUGGAACAAAAGAAAGGAGGUUCAUGUCGUGGUUGGUUCCAGUUCAAGUUCAUCUUUUUGACACUUAUGUAAUCAAGGUUUAAGCCCUUAGUUUUUUCUUCUUUCAUCAUCGCUUGACAAUUUGGCAAACGUAAGUGCAGCUUCAAAUUCUUCGUUGACUAUUUUUUCAAGUUAUUCAAACGUCUUACAAAAUUCAUCAACGAAACUAAUUGACUGAUUAGCAGGCUGACUUCUUUUUCACAAGAAAGCUUGCUGAAUCUUAUCAAGAGCGAGUAGUAACACAAAAGAUGCUGAUGGAAUAAUCACAGGAAACUGACAUUUCCAGAAAAUUCACAGCAGUCUGCUAAGAUGAGAAAAUAGGUAUCUUUGUUGUAUUUCCUAUUGUCCUGACAAUUGACAUCUAAUUGAACAAAAACAUAUACUACUAGCUACAAACAGAAAGUUGCUGAUAAAAUCCAGCUGAUGGCGCCAAACAACUCGCACUGUAUACCAUCAUAGAGGCAUCACAGGGCAAUGUGAUCUUGCCAUUGCAGGUGAAGCCAAACUCCUCCCGAGAUAUCCGUAGGAGCUCUCUGAAGACAAUUGUGCUAACGUAAGCCAAUGGGACCUCAAACCGCGAUCCAUCGGCGGUGUACACAACACAAUGGCCCCUGUCUGCAACGGAACCGGUGCUGCAGCAUCCGUCAGUGUCUGCAGUCUCCUGGCCACCAACUGCCACCAGCCUCUGCAACUUCUUAGCCAGUUGAGCCAGCUUCUUUGGAAAUCAUGGUUCUGUGGUGUUCUUCCUAAAAUGCUCUUUUUCUUAGGAAGGUGUGACGCUUAGAUUGCUAUCUUGUUCGUGGAUGAAGUGGUUGUGUGAGCAAACUGUGAAUUUAUAUUUGAAGGAAGAGAGCAGUAGAAGGGUUAGGUGUAGCUAUGAGCACAAGUGUGGACAGGACCACAGGAGACAAGGCUAUAAACAUGGCAUGUGCAAUGCUGAAGAGACAGUCUGAUUUGAUAAGAUUUUGAUGAGGCCAGUUGUAUGGCAUGUGAUGCAGCAACCAAUACUGGUUAAAUGAAAGUGUACUGUAGUACUGGCGCGCGCAAUGGUUAAAAAAGCUAAGAUAUUUUUCAUGGAUCAGCCCUCCAUAUCACCAUGUCUCGAAUGUGUUGCAGCGUGAGAAGACUGGUAGAACUCAUGGUUCAUGUGUACCACCUAUGCUUCUGGCCCUGAACAUGUCAGCAUUCAAUAUAUAAUUUGCAUUCGCAGUGGGGUCACGCGAUUGCUUCGUUCAAGCCAUGUUUCCUGGUUUUCAUUUUCCUCUGGAUAUUGUGUAUUGUUUCAACUUUAAAACAAGACUGCUGGAUCUAUAGGGGCACCUAAAUAGACCAAAAUUCUAGUGCAUCUAUUUGAUAUUCUUCGAACAAACCCCUCCGAUAUAGAAAAUAAAAGAAAUAACAUAUAAUUUUUCUACGGCACCUUAGAGUUUUUGUAUUAUAUUAUCUUUGCAUAUACACAGAAUAUAUUAGUAGACUGAAAUAGUAAGUAGUCUAAUUUAACUUAUUUUUUUAUUGUAUCCACUUAAUUUCAAUCAAGUCAUAACCUGGGUGCCAUCAUGAUGUAUCAUGUUAAAAUGUUGGAUAUCAUUCAGCUGUGUAUGCAGGAUUGGAUCCUCUGAAACAGUACACAAGCAGGACAAUCCAUAAAACGCAAUCACAACUACAUCCUACUUUGAGACCUUGUUUUCAGAAUAGUCUAUAGAAAAAGCAGAGUCUGAAAUCAACUUAUGCAUGUGAAAAAAUGAAAACAUUCAGAGGUAAUGGGAGCUUACAAGCAUUGUGAGAGUAACUUCUGGCCCUUGGCGGAUCUUGGAAAUACUGCAUCCCAUGUCAAAUAACCUGCAGGCAAUAGUUAUACAAGAUUUAGCCAUAUCUAUUCAGAAUUUCUUAGUUUGCAUUCAGUUUGUGCAAGGAUCUGUCACAUGAUCACUGACAAUGUAUACUCUCUUGUGAUUGUGCAUCAUGAUACAAAUUAUUUGACUGCUUGCUUAUAUCCUGGUUACAUAUAUAGGGUGGCCCCUGAGGUGGGAGAUAUAAUCUCAAAGUUGGCUAUGACCAUAAAGAGUUGUUGCUGAACCACCAGAUUCAAGGUCUUCAGUGGUCCAAAUAGCUUGCUCAAUAAUCUCACAUCACUUCUUUAAUUAGUUGAUGGUCUGUUUGAUUAGCAGCAUCUCAUAUGUGAACUCCACUUCACAUUUUGUUCUUACAGUUUCCUAUGAACAGGAUUUUCUUGCCUUCUUUUUUAGUUUUGACCGCCUAGAAUAAAAUUGGUGAUUAAGAGGUUGUAACUUGUAACAGUUAUUGCAAAAGAUAACUUUAAAUGGCCAUGAUUGCAUACCAUUUUGCUAAACUAGUACCAACCUCUGUUCAAAGUUUGGUGUGCUUGCAUCAACUUUAGUCUGAAGUUUGCUGCCUUACGCAAUAGAGCCUUAUCUUAAUUCGCCAGACAAACAGAGUUGAGGAACUAAGCAGACAGAAGUCAAGACAAGAGUCAAAUGGUCAACUUGCCAUAUGAUUCUUUCAUUUCCUAUCUCCUACAUAGAACUAUUUACAUCAUCCAAAAGGAUGGAGAGACAAAAGAAGGUAAAACGAACACUGAAUCCUCAGAAGCCAGAAACAGCUACUUGCUGGCUAACUCCAAUAGAUGGCUCCAAACCAUUUCCAUAGUGGCAAGGUCUCACCACAGAGCUCAAGAAAGCUCUCUCUACCUCUUCUGAUGCGUUCCUUCUGAGCAAGCACAUGACAUAGUCCAUCACAGCUGCAUCACAAGGC
Molecule: long non-coding RNA, 9830 nt
Filed under: Triticum aestivum (bread wheat)
Lineage: Eukaryota; Viridiplantae; Streptophyta; Magnoliopsida; Poales; Poaceae
Description: long non-coding RNA (TAES_LNC006021)
Source: RNAcentral